UAGUAUGCAUGUAUACCUCUGCUUACAAGC
RNAcentral lists this non-coding RNA (30 nucleotides) under Rattus norvegicus (Norway rat). Lineage: Eukaryota; Metazoa; Chordata; Mammalia; Rodentia; Muridae. The record is from RNAcentral.